UAAUAUCAACAUAGGAUAUCAUAAUUUUUUCAUAAUGAAAAGAAUAUUUUCGUCAUCCAAAAUUUCAAACAAAAAUAUAGAACUAUAGAUAUUAAAUAGAUAUUAAAUGCAUAUUAGAAAGUGAUGGACAAGAUGGUAUGCUCCGCGCCGGAUUUUCUAAACUGCAGUUGCAGUACAAAGAAUUUCUCUAGGCAACGUCUAGCCUUGUAAGAAUGGCCCAGCCCAUUAUCUGCCUAUUUUUGUUGUUGAGGAC
RNAcentral lists this long non-coding RNA (253 nucleotides) under Elaeis guineensis (African oil palm). Its description in RNAcentral is "long non-coding RNA (EGUI_LNC013471)". The record is from RNAcentral. Lineage: Eukaryota; Viridiplantae; Streptophyta; Magnoliopsida; Arecales; Arecaceae.